This 1381-nucleotide long non-coding RNA is filed under the name Homo sapiens (human). RNAcentral describes it as "novel transcript, antisense to TBC1D30". The record is from RNAcentral. Lineage: Eukaryota; Metazoa; Chordata; Mammalia; Primates; Hominidae.
GGGACUCUGCAGCUCGAUUCUCCUGCGGCUCUACAGCAGGUCCCCAAGGCGCUGGCGCUGGGGGGCGGGGGCCGGGGACCGUGAACCCGCCUGGAACGCAGCCGGUGCCACUCCAGGGAACAGGCAAGCCAAGAGGACAAGCAAUCAGCUCUGUUCUACAACACUGUCUCUGGAGUGGAGAGGAGGACGUCCUGCCCCUGGGGCUGUGACAUAUGCCACUCAGACCAUCCAACUCCCUUUGGCUCUGACGUCAUGCUCACCAAGCAAACUUUGGAUUGUCAUUUGAUUUCCCAUAUAGACUCUGCUGCAGCACAGAGAAUAUACUGACCAGUUAAUAGCAGUCAAUACCCCUGAGUUCACUUACCAGUCAGUAACCUGAAGACACCAAAUUUCCAGACUGCCAAAGCUGACAUCUAGACUCUAGGCUGUCAACUCACCCAUGUGUCAUGACUGAUAAAAAGACCUCUCUUUAGAUUCUUCUUUACUUGUAAUACUUUUCUUUACUAGUAGUGACAGAAGCUUGUUUGCUUGCAAAAGGAACAUUCAAUUUCACCUCUUUUAGAUCUAUUACGAGGAAAAUCUAACUCUGUUUUUAAAAUAAAAUUUAAGAGUUUCUGCUAUGAUGGCAAUAAACAGCAAAGGAAUUAGAUAAUAUUAUUUUGUUUACAUUGGAGAGGAAAGUCAGGACUGCCAACUUUUAUAGCAAACAGAUAAUUACAUGAGCACUAAAACACAAUACUCUAAAAGCAGCGAUGGCCCAAGCCUAGUAUUAUGUUGAUUGUGUGACUCACAGUUUUUUAUUUCAUGUCUGGAAUAUUGUUUUACAAACGUGAAAGAUGUCAUCUAAAGUCAACUUACAGAGAACUCAAGCCAGCAUGGACUUUGCCUGAGAAUCUCAGGAGCCAGGCCAAUUUACCAUUAUUCUUUACUAAUCAAGCUUUACCAAUCAAAUAAUAGUGAAUUCACAUUUGGGCAAAUUAUACACUGCCACAGUCUACAAUGGUUAUGACUUAUGCUGAAUUUAGGGGAAGGAAGGCUUAAUGAACACUUCACAUUGGAUGAGAUAAUGUUAUUUGGAUUGCUAAAGAAAAUGAAGGCUUUGAGGAAAUGCCCCGAAUGUCACAGAGCUAAUAACCUGAGGACAUCCCCCACAGAUGUGAGCUCCCAGGCUGAAACAAAAAAAAGUAUGGACCAUUCGGCAUACCCUGCAUCUUCAGGCCUACAUGCUGGGAAUGAGGUUUCCUUGAGAGCGAACUUUUCCUUUAAUGGGAGAAGGGGGAAGAAGUCAGUAAGAAAAGAAAGCCCAACACAAGGAAUAAAAACUAUGUCCCAAGGGGCUUCCAGAAGGGGAAGUGGGUCUGAGACCUGUGAUUUCCUAAUG